Molecule: long non-coding RNA, 915 nt
Organism: Antechinus flavipes (yellow-footed antechinus)
Lineage: Eukaryota; Metazoa; Chordata; Mammalia; Dasyuromorphia; Dasyuridae
Exons: 3
Source: RefSeq, a predicted model, not a curated record
UUUAAGGAAAAAAUAAGGCUUAAAUUUUGUAAGGUUUUAAAAAGUAAAUGACAAGAUUAAUAUUUUUGUUGUUCUAGGACAAUAAAGUAAGGCAGCUAGUUUUGAAAUAAUCCCAGAGUGAAGAAGGAAAAAAAGAGAUUCAUAACUAAGGGCCUGGGUUAUGUUGGCCAGAAACUCAGAUCCAAACGUUGAUGCCAGAAGCUUUCUCUAUGGGCCCCUACCAGGUUCGUUCUUCUGACUGUUCCCACAGCUGUCAACCUUGUGGGUGUGGACUCCUGGAUCAUCUAAAGAAAGCCCCAUGCCUGAAUGGACAGAAAAAUCUCCUGGGACCUAAAAGUUCAUCUAGGGAUCCUGACUUGAGAGAUGGAACUGCAGCUGACAUACUACAGGAUAAAGUGGCCAAUCACACCUCCUGUCACUGUGAACAAUUUUUCUGCACCUAUAACUUCUAAGUGAACUUAACCAGGUGCUGCACUCAUGUUCCUGCCAUCCUAACAUGAAUUCUGUGCCCCACUGAACGUUCACAAAACUGAGCAACUCUUAAGAUGAGAUAAUCACAUCGCUCAACAAUUCUAAAAACUUGAAGGCUGUUCCCACAAGACUCAAGAAUGCUUGUAUUGUCCCCAAAAUUCCUGCAUGCAUGGACCUGCUAUAGGAACUGUUUACUCAAGAUCUUAAGAAUGACUGGAUUGGGCCCUGCCUUUUUGUGGUUUUCAUGCUUAAAAACUCUACCCUGCAACAGGUGAGCAAGCCCUCCUUCUCUGGAAAGUGGACUUCUACUUGAAAGAAUUUUCCUCACUGUGAAAUUAAACUGCUAUUUGAUUCUUUACUCACCUGCCUCUGGCCUGCUUUGUUUGGCUCUGGCCACCCACAGAUUAGAGACUGGUCUAGUCCAUACUACAUUUAAAAUUCUUU